GACGAACGCUGGCGGCGUGCUUAACACAUGCAAGUCGAACGGAAAGGCCCUGCUUUUGUGGGGUGCUCGAGUGGCGAACGGGUGAGUAACACGUGAGUAACCUGCCCUUGACUUUGGGAUAACUUCAGGAAACUGGGGCUAAUACCGGAUAGGAGCUCCUGCUGCAUGGUGGGGGUUGGAAAGUUUCGGCGGUUGGGGAUGGACUCGCGGCUUAUCAGCUUGUUGGUGGGGUAGUGGCUUACCAAGGCUUUGACGGGUAGCCGGCCUGAGAGGGUGACCGGCAACAUUGGGACUGAGAUACGGCCCAGACUCCUACGGGAGGCAGCAGUGGGGAAGAUUGCACAAUGGGCGGAAGCCUGAUGCAGCAACGCCGCGUGCGGGAUGACGGCCUUCGGGUUGUAAACCGCUUUCGCCUGUGACGAAGCGUGAGUGACGGUAAUGGGUAAAGAAGCACCGGCUAACUACGUG
Molecule: ribosomal RNA, 468 nt
Filed under: uncultured bacterium
Lineage: Bacteria
Description: partial 16S ribosomal RNA
Rfam family: Bacterial small subunit ribosomal RNA
Source: RNAcentral